This 406-nucleotide ribosomal RNA is filed under the name uncultured bacterium. RNAcentral's name for it is "partial 16S ribosomal RNA". It matches the Rfam family "Bacterial small subunit ribosomal RNA", at positions 30 to 526 of the family's 1533-position model. The record is from RNAcentral.
AUUGAACGCUGGCGGCAGGCCUAACACAUGCAAGUCGAACGAGUGGCGGACGGGUGAGUAAUGUCUGGGAAACUGCCUGAUGGAGGGGGAUAACUACUGGAAACGGUAGCUAAUACCGCAUACCAUCGGAUGUGCCCAGAUGGGAUUAGCUAGUCGGUGGGGUAAAGGGUCACCUAGGCGACGAUCCCUAGCUGGUCUGAGAGGAUGACCAGCCACACUGGCACGUAGACACGGUCCAGACUCCUACGGGAGGCAGCAGGGGGGAAUAUUGCACAAUGGGGGCAAGCCUGAUGCAGCCAUGCCGCGUGUAUGAAGAAGGCCUUCGGGUUGUAAAGUACUUGCAGCGGGGAGGCGUUACCCGCAGAAGAAGCACCGGCUAACUCCGUGCCAGCAGCCGCGGUAAUGC